Non-coding RNA from Manis javanica (Malayan pangolin), 318 nucleotides. The record is from RefSeq and is a predicted model, not a curated record. Lineage: Eukaryota; Metazoa; Chordata; Mammalia; Pholidota; Manidae.
CUUGUGACCAGCUGGGCACUUUUCCAAUCAGAGACUGUUAAGAUCUUUGACAACAGAACCUGUAGUUGUUUGAAGAAGACUAUCAACAGUGACCUGGACGCUUGGUGAUACCAGGCUUCUAUCAAAGGGGUUACUCCGAAAAUAAAUAUCUUACAGGCAGCCUCAGGUUUUCCGAUCAGAGAGAGGUGAGCAUUCAGAUGCCAGCGGCCACCUGGCCGGUGUGGGUCCCUUAUUGGCGGCAGACAUGCCAUUUGGAAAACCCUAGAGAGAGGUCCUUACUGAUCUGCAUCCGGCGAUCUCCAUCUCCAUGCAGUGAGG